This 426-nucleotide ribosomal RNA is filed under the name Candidatus Pacearchaeota archaeon. RNAcentral describes it as "bacterial SSU rRNA". It matches the Rfam family "Archaeal small subunit ribosomal RNA", at positions 1 to 426 of the family's 1478-position model. The record is from RNAcentral. Lineage: Archaea; Nanobdellati.
AUUCCAGUUGAUCCUGCUGGCGGCUGCGGCUCUCUGACUUGCACUUAGACAUGCAAGUUUUUUUAGUUUCUUCACAGAAAUUGAAAAGCAAACUGCUCAGUAACACGUAGCUAACCUACCCUAAGGUUAAGUAUACCCUCGGGAAACUGAGGCUAACACUUAAUAUGGGAUAUACCCUGGAAAGAUUUAUCCCUGAAACUUGAGCCUUAGGAUGGGGCUGCGGCGGAUUAGGUUGUUGGCGGGGUAAUAGCCCACCAAGCCUAUGAUCCGUAAGGGCUCUUAGCGGAGAGGCCCUGAGAGGGAAUCUGAGACACUAUUCCCAGCCCUACGGGGUGCAGCAGUUAGGAAUAAUCUACAAUGCGCGCAAGCGUGAUAGUUUGAGCCAGAGUGCGUUCCAAUUGGAAUGCUUUUGCCAAAUGUAAAAAG